GAGUGUUCAAAGCAGGCAGAUUUAACCAUUCUGCCACCGAAUACAUUAGCAUGGGAUAAUGAAAUAGGACCCUGUCCUCCUAUUUACGUGUUGGUUUUUGAGGACCAGGGUAAUGAUUAAUAGGGAUAGUUGGGGGCAUUAAUAUUUAAUUGUCAGAGGUGAAAUUCUUGGAUUUAUGAAAGAUUAACUUCUGCGAAAGCAUCUGCCAAGGAUGUUUUCAUUAAUCAAGAACGAAAGUUAGGGGAUCGAAGACGAUCAGAUACCGUCGUAGUCUUAACCAUAAACGAUGCCGACCAGCGAUUAGGAGACGUUGAAUACAAAACACCAUCCAUUUAGCAAGGUCGUUUUCAAAUAUUCCUUUUUGCGAAGGUUGUUUGGGAACGAUUCGUCCUGAUGGAUCUGGUGAAUGACUCCCCUAGCAGCUUGUGAGAA
This 432-nucleotide ribosomal RNA is filed under the name Acanthamoeba culbertsoni. RNAcentral's name for it is "SSU rRNA". It matches the Rfam family "Eukaryotic small subunit ribosomal RNA", at positions 769 to 1096 of the family's 1831-position model. The record is from RNAcentral. Lineage: Eukaryota; Discosea; Longamoebia; Acanthamoebidae.